RNAcentral lists this ribosomal RNA (253 nucleotides) under uncultured bacterium. Its description in RNAcentral is "partial 16S ribosomal RNA". It matches the Rfam family "Bacterial small subunit ribosomal RNA", at positions 524 to 776 of the family's 1533-position model. The record is from RNAcentral.
UACGGGGGGGGUAAGCGUUGUUCGGAAUUACUGGGCGUAAAGGGCUCGUAGGCGGCCAACUAAGUCAUACGUGAAAUCCCUCAGCUUAUCUGGGGAACUGCGUGUGAUACUGGAUGGCUUGGAUUUGGGAGAGGGAUGCGGAAUUCCAGGUGUAGCGGUGAAAUGCGUAGAUAUCUGGAGGAACACCGGUGGCGAAGGCGGCAUCCUGGACCAAUAUUGACGCUGAGGAGCGAAAGCCAGGGGAGCAAACGGG